This 360-nucleotide long non-coding RNA is filed under the name Cucumis sativus (cucumber). RNAcentral's name for it is "long non-coding RNA (CSAT_LNC002405)". The record is from RNAcentral. Lineage: Eukaryota; Viridiplantae; Streptophyta; Magnoliopsida; Cucurbitales; Cucurbitaceae.
UUGCCGACUAUAUCAAAGUUGCCUUCACGGGUGUAGAAUUUGACGGCGAAUCCACGGGGGUCACGGAGGGUUUCGGGGCUGCCGCGUUCGUGGAUGACGGUGGAGAAACGGACGAUGACGGGGGUUUGGACGCCUGGGGCACGGAGGAAGUCGGCGCAGGUUAAGUCGGAGACGUCGUGGGUAACUUCGAAGAAACCUUUGGCGCUGGCACCACGAGCGUGGACCACUCGUUCAGGAAUUCUUUCGCGGGUGAAGGUGGCGAUUUUUUCGAUGAGUUGGUAAUCUUCUAACAGGAUUGGGCCUCGUUCUCCGACGGACAUUACGGCGGUGUUGUUCCAUACUGGUGCACCGGAGUUUGUU